Molecule: non-coding RNA, 366 nt
Organism: Bradyrhizobiaceae bacterium SG-6C
Lineage: Bacteria; Pseudomonadati; Pseudomonadota; Alphaproteobacteria; Hyphomicrobiales; Nitrobacteraceae
Source: Rfam
GGGCUUUUGCAUCCGCGAUUUGCCCCCUAUAUUGGGGGUGCCGGUUCGCCGGCUAUGGAAAUAAAUGGCCGUCGUAAUAAACCAUUCGGACCCGGGGGCAGCACCCGGCGCCUCCACCAAAACCCGGAUCAUCCUCAAUAGAGAGGCGGGUUUCGGCGGGGGCGAAACAGGAUCGACGAGGGCGUAAAGGACUCGCUUUUUCCCGGUAUUGUUCCGCCGUUAUCGGGCUCUACAAUAGUUGCAAACGACAACUAUGCUCCGGUUGCUCAGGCUGCGUAACGCAGUUUGAAAUACCGACUUAAAGUCCUGACGGAUUAAGCCCCGUCAGGCGGGGUUCGGAGGCACCUGGCAACAGAAGCCUCCACU